GUGGGGAAUAUUGGGCAAUGGGCGAAAGCCUGACCCAGCAACGCCGCGUGAAGGAAGAAGGUUUUCGGAUCGUAAACUUCUAUCCUUGGUGAAGAUAAUGACGGUAGCCAAGAAGGAAGCCCCGGCUAACUACGUGCCAGCAGCCGCGGUAAUACGUAGGGGGCGAGCGUUGUCCGGAAUGAUUGGGCGUAAAGGGCGCGUAGGCGGCCUGGUAAGUCUGGAGUGAAAGUCCUGCUUUUAAGGUGGGAAUUGCUUUGGAUACUGUCGGGCUUGAGUGCAGGAGAGGUAAGUGGAAUUCCCGGUGUAGCGGUGAAAUGCGUAGAGAUCGGGAGGAACACCAGUGGCGAAGGCGACUUACUGGACUGUAACUGACGCUGAGGCGCGAAAGUGUGGGGAGCAAACAGGAUUAGAAACCCGUGUAGUCC
This 425-nucleotide ribosomal RNA is filed under the name uncultured bacterium. Its description in RNAcentral is "partial 16S ribosomal RNA". It matches the Rfam family "Bacterial small subunit ribosomal RNA", at positions 354 to 796 of the family's 1533-position model. The record is from RNAcentral.